GGUUCUAAUUCCUAUUUCCUUCACGGCCAGCAUUUAUGUGCCAUGGCAGAGUGAAGUAAACAAUUUAUGGAUGACAACAGUUCUGAAGUCAGAGGAUAAGGAGAAAUAUUAUGAAGUUCAGGAUCACAUACUUAUUUUGAAAUUUCAAGGAUUUGCGACUCCCCCUUUUUGGGAAGGUACAAACUAUUUCACGUUGAAACUUGAAAGAAAGCUCAAUUCAUAUUUAUUCUGGAGGCUCAAAUUGAUGGUUUUUGUUUGGGCCGGCUGAUGGUUUGUGUUUGUUUACAGGUGAUUUUCUGCUGCUGCAUUGAACCAAUGGCAAAUUCUUGAGUCCGUUGGGUGCCCCAAGGUGUGCUGUGCCUACAACAUUUUGUGAAUGGGCAAUUUAUCCAUCCUGAUAUAACCUGUUCCAUUCUACUCGACCCUUGUGCUGAGUUCCAUGCUACCUUAGUGGCACUGUUCAGAGGCAUGAUUUGAUGGCUCAUGGUGAACAUGAGCAUUCAAUGUCAAGGAGGCAGAUGGUACAGGAAAAUUGGGCAGAACGAAUACCCCUCCUAGUUUUCUCAUACGAUGAGGGCUAAUGCCAAUUAAUCCUACUGAUUGAAUGGAAGAAUGGGAAAGAAUCCAAUCGCCAUUGAAGGUUUACAAAGUAUUUGCCUCAUGUCAAGUGAAGAAGCUGGUCCUUUUCAAACUUUAGCAAAGGCUUACUAGUUUUAUUUCAUUAAUUGAAAACAUAUACAAGUCAAAACACUUGCAGAAAGCCCAAUGACUGACAACUCAUUGGGAUGGAGCAGUUAUUUCUGAUUUUCAUUUAGGACAUUUUCUAUCAGCAUUGACAUAAACAGAACAACCUAUAGCAAGUAUCUUGGUCCUCUGAAUACACUAUAAGCCAAGAGUUUCCAGGUAUAAGAAACAGAGGAUCGUUGUUCAAGUACAAUGGUUUUUAUCUACAAUAGGUAUCAAUUUUAAAGUUGGAUUUUUUAGUUCUUUGCGUGAAAGAGUCUUGGCUUCAAAUCUUAUAAGAAGUGCCUUAUAUUCGUUUAAACACUGGUAAGUAGCUAUGAGAAUUUAAGUUAAUUUCUUCUAUUUGCAAUGAAAUGGGGAAAAGUAAAACCAUUGUUGAUUAACUUAAAAUAAACAUUAUUUGAUGAUUAUAUUAGAAAAUUUUUACAAAUCAUCAAGGUAAAGCUAAUAGAUCAAAUAAAUUAAUUAAUAACUUAAUUGAGAGAUAAGAUCCAAAAUUUAACUCUUAUCUUUAAUUCUCUUUUAUAUUAUUGUUUGUAUUGAAAUUCUAAUUAAAUUAAACAGCAAAUUAAAAAUUGAAAUAACUUCUAAUUUUUAUUGUUAGCAUAAUCUACCACUUUAAUCCACAAGCAUUAAUAUAAUUAGUAAGGAGAAAAGGUUUUUUUUUUUCUUUGUUAAUUAGAAUUUGAACCCUAUAAAAA
Non-coding RNA from Durio zibethinus, 1445 nucleotides. Lineage: Eukaryota; Viridiplantae; Streptophyta; Magnoliopsida; Malvales; Malvaceae. The record is from RefSeq and is a predicted model, not a curated record.